RNAcentral lists this signal recognition particle RNA (264 nucleotides) under Fervidobacterium thailandense. Its description in RNAcentral is "signal recognition particle sRNA large type". It matches the Rfam family "Bacterial large signal recognition particle RNA". Rfam says of the family: The signal recognition particle (SRP) is a universally conserved ribonucleoprotein involved in the co-translational targeting of proteins to membranes. Archaeal SRP consists of a 7S RNA and homologues of the eukaryotic SRP19 and SRP54 proteins. RNAcentral also lists the same sequence under 1 other name. Lineage: Bacteria; Thermotogati; Thermotogota; Thermotogae; Thermotogales; Fervidobacteriaceae. The record is from RNAcentral.
CCGUACUAGGCGGGGGGUUGGUGGUCCCCUGUACCCGAAACCCACCUUAGCGGGGCUGAAUUCCCCGACUGAGGCCACCUGGGGUCGGUAUCGGCGUACUCAGUGGCGUUGAAGAUCGGGUCCCACGCAACAACUACCUGUGAACCGGGUCAGGUCCGGAAGGAAGCAGCCCUAAGCAGGCAAGUGUGUGCCGUGGGAGUGCCCGGUCGGAGCCAUGGUGGGUGCGUGCGACCGGGUCUGGGUGAGUCGAAGCGGGGUGUACGG